GAUGAACGCUGGCGGCGUGCCUAAUACAUGCCAGUCGAGCGAACAGACGAGGAGCUUGCUCCUCUGACGUUAGCGGCGGACGGGUGAGUAACACGUGGAUAACCUACCUAUAAGACUGGGAUAACUUCGGGAAACCGGAGCUAAUACCGGAUAACAUGUUGAACCGCAUGGUUCAACAGUGAAAGACGGUCUUGCUGUCACUUAUAGAUGGAUCCGCGCCGCAUUAGCUAGUUGGUAAGGUAACGGCUUACCAAGGCAACGAUGCGUAGCCGACCUGAGAGGGUGAUCGGCCACACUGGAACUGAGACACGGUCCAGACUCCGACGGGAGGCAGCAGUAGGGAAUCUUCCGCAAUGGGCGAAAGCCUGACGGAGCAACGCCGCGUGAGUGAAGAAGGUCUUCGGAUCGUAAAACUCUGUUAUUAGGGAAGAACAAAUGUGUAAGUAACUAUGCACGUCUGGACGGUACCUAAUCAGAAAGCCACGGCUAACUACGG
Molecule: ribosomal RNA, 496 nt
Filed under: uncultured bacterium
Lineage: Bacteria
Description: partial 16S ribosomal RNA
Rfam family: Bacterial small subunit ribosomal RNA
Source: RNAcentral